Long non-coding RNA from Manacus vitellinus (golden-collared manakin), 1148 nucleotides. RefSeq lists it as uncharacterized. NCBI's taxonomy places the organism in Eukaryota, Metazoa, Chordata, Aves, Passeriformes, Pipridae. The record is from RefSeq and is a predicted model, not a curated record. The transcript has 3 exons.
UUGCAGCAGUAUCACAUCACAGCACGGUUGUGGUUACCUCAGUGCAGUGGUUGUGGUUAUCCCAGUCCACUCACAGGACGUGGGCUCAUCCUAUGACAGCAUUAAGUUUUGGUUUCCACCCAAUUGACCUGGGACUAAACACAGGCAACAAGUGGCCCCUGCUGGAUAGCAGCUUUCUGUUCACAUCAGGAUGUUCCCGCUCGAGGAGAAACCCUCCAGCAGAACGAGUUAAAUGAAAUCCCAUACAUUAGCAGGAUGCAAAUGUAUACCAUGAAGAAAAAGGAGAAAAUGCAUCUUUUUUUUUUUUUUUCCCCAGCAAGUGUUUUAGUGGUGUUGCUUUGAUUUGUAUUACUGCACAGAAGUUAUGGAGGUGGAGAAGUCUCCUUGACUACUUCUUUCUCCUAAGUCUUUGUAAUUUUGAUCAUUGUUUCUACCCAUCUGUAGAAAUAAUCUUCCUUAUGGACUCAAUCACAUACUGUCUGUUUUAAUGAGCCCAGUGACUGUUGUAGAGAGUGAUGCCAAGUGUGAUGAUCUUUAGCUAUUUCUGUAGGAAAGCAGCUUAGCAGGCCAUAUGUCAUAUUUCCUAGUAAAUGAUUGUUUUGAAUUGUUUUUAUACUGUAGUUUCUAUUCAUGAGAUAUUAAAGAAAAUAGCAUCUGGUUAAUCAAAUUCUGAAUUUCAGCAUAUGAUGAUAUAUAUCAAUCCUAUUCUGUGACUUUCUUUGAAAUAGAUUGUAAGUUUAGUGCAGACAAUUUCUCUCUGUUGGCUGGUAAUAGGUGACUAUUAUACCUUAAAAUUUUAAGGGCGAAGAGCUAAGGCAGUUUGAAGUUUAACAAGAGCUGAGUUCAGCUACUGUUGCCAGAAAGGAGUUUGCACCACCCUUCUACCACACAUUUCUAAAGACAAACAGCGAACAGAAGAAGUGAGGCUUGAGCAAAGAUUGGAAAAACAGGGCUGGAGAUUAAUGAGUUGGCCAGGAUUACACCCACAUAAUAAGUCAGAUGCAAAGCCACAAUUAGAACUGGAGUACCUCAUGGCAGCCUUCUGAAGAGUUUGAUAUUUCUUUGCUUGCUUGGGUGCACAGGAAGUUGUCUGUUUAAAAGGUUUGUGUCAUCUCCAGGUGUCCCAUGGAUCAACUUAAGAACCAGAG